This 679-nucleotide ribosomal RNA is filed under the name uncultured Bacteroidota bacterium. RNAcentral describes it as "bacterial SSU rRNA". It matches the Rfam family "Bacterial small subunit ribosomal RNA", at positions 217 to 895 of the family's 1533-position model. Lineage: Bacteria; Pseudomonadati; Bacteroidota. The record is from RNAcentral.
GGUCAUGGAUGGGGAUGCGUCUGAUUAGCUUGUUGGCGGGGUAACGGCCCACCAAGGCGACGAUCAGUAGGGGUUCUGAGAGGAAGGUCCCCCACAUUGGAACUGAGACACGGUCCAAACUCCUACGGGAGGCAGCAGUGAGGAAUAUUGGUCAAUGGACGAGAGUCUGAACCAGCCAAGUAGCGUGAAGGAUGACUGCCCUAUGGGUUGUAAACUUCUUUUAUACGGGAAUAAAGUGGCUCACGUGUGGGUUUUUGUAUGUACCGUAUGAAUAAGGACCGGCUAAUUCCGUGCCAGCAGCCGCGGUAAUACGGAAGGUCCGGGCGUUAUCCGGAUUUAUUGGGUUUAAAGGGAGCGUAGGCCGCCGAUUAAGCGUGUUGUGAAAUGCCGCAGCUCAACUGUGGCACUGCAGCGCGAACUGGUUGGCUUGAGUGCGCGGAAGGCAGGCGGAAUUUGUGGUGUAGCGGUGAAAUGCUUAGAUAUCACGAAGGACCCCGAUUGCGAAGGCAGCCUGCCGCAGCGUAACUGACGCUGAAGCUCGAAAGUGCGGGUAUCGAACAGGAUUAGAUACCCUGGUAGUCCGCACGGUAAACGAUGGAUGCCGGGUGUUCCGGUUUUGAAUUGGAGUGGCCAAGCGAAAGCGUUAAGCAUCCCACCUGGGGAGUACGCCGGCAACGGU